GAAUGUAUCCUGAGUACGGCGGAACACGUGAAAUUCCGUCGGAAUCUGGGAGGACCAUCUCCCAAGGCUAAAUACUCCCUAGUGAUCGAUAGUGAACCAGUACCGUGAGGGAAAGGUGAAAAGCACCCCGGAAGGGGAGUGAAAGAGAUCCUGAAACCGUGUGCCUACAAAUAGUCAGAGCCCGUUAACGGGUGAUGGCGUGCCUUUUGUAGAAUGAACCGGCGAGUUACGAUCCCGUGCGAGGUUAAGCUGAAGAGGCGGAGCCGCAGCGAAAGCGAGUCUGAAUAGGGCGUUUAGUACGUGGUCGUAGACCCGAAACCAGGUGAUCUACCCAUGUCCAGGGUGAAGUUCAGGUAACACUGAAUGGAGGCCCGAACCCACGCACGUUGAAAAGUGCGGGGAUGAGGUGUGGGUAGCGGAGAAAUUCCAAUCGAACCUGGAGAUAGCUGGUUCUCCCCGAAAUAGCUUUAGGGCUAGCCUUAAGUGUAAGAGUCUUGGAGGUAGAGCACUGAUUGGACUAGGGGUCCUCAUCGGAUUACCGAAUUCAGUCAAACUCCGAAUGCCAAUGACUUAUCCUUAGGAGUCAGACUGCGAGUGAUAAGAUCCGUAGUCAAAAGGGAAACAGCCCAGACCGCCAGCUAAGGUCCCAAAGUGUGUAUUAAGUGGAAAAGGAUGUGGAGUUGCUUAGACAACUAGGAUGUUGGCUUAGAAGCAGCCACCAUUUAAAGAGUGCGUAAUAGCUCACUAGUCGAGUGACUCUGCGCCGAAAAUGUACCGGGGCUAAAUACACCACCGAAGCUGCGGAUUGAUACCGAAUGGUAUCAGUGGUAGGGGAGCGUUCUAAGGACAGUGAAGUCAGACCGGAAGGACUGGUGGAGUGCUUAGAAGUGAGAAUGCCGGUAUGAGUAGCGAAAGACGGGUGAGAAUCCCGUCCACCGAAUGCCUAAGGUUUCCUGAGGAAGGCUCGUCCGCUCAGGGUUAGUCAGGACCUAAGCCGAGGCCGACAGGCGUAGGCGAUGGACAACAGGUUGAUAUUCCUGUACCACCUCUUUAUCGUUUGAGCAAUGGAGGGACGCAGAAGGAUAGAAGAAGCGUGCGAUUGGUUGUGCACGUCCAAGCAGUUAGGCUGAUAAGUAGGCAAAUCCGCUUAUCGUAAAGGCUGAGCUGUGAUGGGGAAGCUCCUUAUGGAGCGAAGUCUUUGAUUCCCCGCUGCCAAGAAAAGCUUCUAGCGAGAUAAAAGGUGCCUGUACCGCAAACCGACACAGGUAGGCGAGGAGAGAAUCCUAAGGUGUGCGAGAGAACUCUGGUUAAGGAACUCGGCAAAAUGACCCCGUAACUUCGGGAGAAGGGGUGCUUUCUUAACGGAAAGCCGCAGUGAAUAGGCCCAAGCGACUGUUUAGCAAAAACACAGCUCUCUGCGAAGCCGUAAGGCGAAGUAUAGGGGGUGACACCUGCCCGGUGCUGGAAGGUUAAGGAGAGGGGUUAGCGUAAGCGAAGCUCUGAACUGAAGCCCCAGUAAACGGCGGCCGUAACUAUAACGGUCCUAAGGUAGCGAAAUUCCUUGUCGGGUAAGUUCCGACCCGCACGAAAGGUGUAACGAUUUGGGCACUGUCUCAACCAGAGACUCGGUGAAAUUAUAGUACCUGUGAAGAUGCAGGUUACCCGCGACAGGACGGAAAGACCCCGUGGAGCUUUACUGUAGCCUGAUAUUGAAUUUUGGUACAGUUUGUACAGGAUAGGCGGGAGCCUUUGAAACCGGAGCGCUAGCUUCGGUGGAGGCGCUGGUGGGAUACCGCCCUGACUGUAUUGAAAUUCUAACCUACGGGUCUUAUCGACCCGGGAGACAGUGUCAGGUGGGCAGUUUGACUGGGGCGGUCGCCUCCUAAAGUGUAACGGAGGCGCCCAAAGGUUCCCUCAGAAUGGUUGGAAAUCAUUCGUAGAGUGCAAAGGCAUAAGGGAGCUUGACUGCGAGACCUACAAGUCGAGCAGGGACGAAAGUCGGGCUUAGUGAUCCGGUGGUUCCGCAUGGAAGGGCCAUCGCUCAACGGAUAAAAGCUACCCCGGGGAUAACAGGCUUAUCUCCCCCAAGAGUCCACAUCGACGGGGAGGUUUGGCACCUCGAUGUCGGCUCAUCGCAUCCUGGGGCUGUAGUCGGUCCCAAGGGUUGGGCUGUUCGCCCAUUAAAGCGGUACGCGAGCUGGGUUCAGAACGUCGUGAGACAGUUCGGUCCCUAUCCGUCGUGGGCGUAGGAAAUUUGAGAGGAGCUGUCCUUAGUACGAGAGGACCGGGAUGGACGCACCGCUGGUGUACCAGUUGUUCUGCCAAGGGCAUAGCUGGGUAGCUAUGUGCGGAAGGGAUAAGUGCUGAAAGCAUCUAAGCAUGAAGCCCCCCUCAAGAUGAGAUUUCCCAUAGCGUAAGCUAGUAAGAUCCCUGAAAGAUGAUCAGGUUGAUAGGUUCGAGGUGGAAGCAUGGUGACAUGUGGAGCUGACGAAUACUAAUAGAUCGAGGACUUAACCAU
Molecule: ribosomal RNA, 2518 nt
Filed under: Escherichia coli
Lineage: Bacteria; Pseudomonadati; Pseudomonadota; Gammaproteobacteria; Enterobacterales; Enterobacteriaceae
Description: partial 23S ribosomal RNA
Rfam family: Bacterial large subunit ribosomal RNA
Source: RNAcentral